UGGGGAAUUUUGGACAAUGGGCGAAAGCCUGAUCCAGCAAUGCCGCGUGUGUGAAGAAGGCCUUCGGGUUGUAAAGCACUUUUGUCCGGAAAGAAAUCCUUGGCUCUAAUACAGUCGGGGGAUGACGGUACCGGAAGAAUAAGCACCGGCUAACUACGUGCCAGCAGCCGCGGUAAUACGUAGGGUGCAAGCGUUAAUCGGAAUUACUGGGCGUAAAGCGUGCGCAGGCGGUUUGCUAAGACCGAUGUGAAAUCCCCGGGCUCAACCUGGGAACUGCAUUGGUGACUGGCAGGCUAGAGUAUGGCAGAGGGGGGUAGAAUUCCACGUGUAGCAGUGAAAUGCGUAGAGAUGUGGAGGAAUACCGAUGGCGAAGGCAGCCCCCUGGGCAAUACUGACGCUCAUGCACGAAAGCGUGGGGAGCAAACAGGAUUAGAUACCCUGGUAGUCCACGCCCUAAACGAUGUCAACUAGUUGUUGGGGAUUCAUUUCCUUAGUAACGUAGCUAACGCGUGAAGUUGACCGCCUGGGGAGUACGGUCGCAAGAUUAAAACUCAAAUGAAUUGACGGGGUCAUAGCUG
This 578-nucleotide ribosomal RNA is filed under the name uncultured bacterium. RNAcentral's name for it is "partial 16S ribosomal RNA". It matches the Rfam family "Bacterial small subunit ribosomal RNA", at positions 355 to 932 of the family's 1533-position model. The record is from RNAcentral.